Molecule: long non-coding RNA, 935 nt
Filed under: Rattus norvegicus (Norway rat)
Lineage: Eukaryota; Metazoa; Chordata; Mammalia; Rodentia; Muridae
Description: long non-coding RNA NONRATT022570
Source: RNAcentral
CCACAUGAUUCUUCAGAGUCCGAGGGCUGGGCGGUUCAAGACAUGGUGGUGGGGAUCGUAGAGGCAGAAUGUGUUGGCUACAUCUUGUGGUUGUCAGGAGUGGGCUCCAUGCAAGGACAGGAGCUGACAGUGGGGUGGCAUUGUCUGUUCCUCUAUUAAAGGAAGCUCAUUCUAGCCAUACAUACUGGAGCCUGGAAGGGCAGAGUCAUCCACCUUUGAUAUUUACAUUUGAUCCACAUUUGAUAUUUACACCCUGAUUAAAACCCGCGAGGUACUGGGGGUGGGAAGGGAGAGUGUGGGAGAAAUUGAAGGAGUUUUAAGCUAAGAGUUUGGGGAAUGUGAUCUCCUGAAGCAAACCCAUUCAAACAUCCAAGUCUGUUGUUUACUGUUCUAAUCUCAAGGCUGAAGGAUCCAGGAAAGACUGGGGAAGAUGAGGCUGACUCAAAAGGGAUGGUUCUAAAGUUACUGCCGUUGCUUUAGUCCCAGAAGUGAAACUGGCAAGUUAGACAUUUUGAUUCCAGAAGGAUGGUAGCUCCGUGUUCCUGAAGUUCCAGGUCCUGGGGAAACAGACCAGGAAGCUGCAGGCUGGGAAGAAGCUUGAAGAUCAUUAUGGCUGGGGCAGUUUCAAGAAGUUGUUACUUUUGUGUUACAUAACACUGUUGCUUUGUGUGAUAAUGACGCUGAUCCUUAUCUGGCAGAGGUACGCCUGGAAGCAUGAUGGCUGGAUUUACUUUAACUUUUUAAAACAGGUUCACAGGCAAGGAGAGCUGUGAUGCUGGGACGAGCCAGCGGCUGACAGGGUUCACUCUACCCAUUUGUAUGUUUGCUAAUGAAAGAAAAAUAAGAAAUAAAAAGUUUGAAACGACUCCAGUGUUUGCUGGCUGCAUCCAUCAUUAUCCUUACUCUAAGGAAUAAAGACUUUCAUGUCUCACAGC